GACAGGGGGGGCGAGCGUUAUCCAUCAUUAAUUGGCGUAAAGGGCACGUAGAUGUUCAUAACUAUCGGAUAUAAAAAUCAAGCUGUAAGGUUUGAAUUCAUUUGUCAUAUUAUAAAUCUGAGUUAAACUCAAGUUAUAGGAAUUUUUAAUGGAGAGAUAAAAUCCGUAGAUAUUAAAAGGAACACCAAAUGCGAAAGCAUAUAGCUAGACUUAACUGACAUUAAGGUGCGAAGGUAUGGGUAGCAAACAGG
Molecule: ribosomal RNA, 251 nt
Filed under: uncultured bacterium
Lineage: Bacteria
Description: partial 16S ribosomal RNA
Rfam family: Bacterial small subunit ribosomal RNA
Source: RNAcentral